AAUAUUGCACAAUGGGCGCAAGCCUGAUGCAGCAACGCCGCGUGCGCGACGAAGGCCUUCGGGUCGUAAAGCGCUUUUCGGGGAGAGGAGCACGGACAGUAUCCCCGGAAGAAGGAUCGGCUAACUACGGGCCAGCAGCCGCGGUCAAACGUAGGAUCCGAGCGUUAUCCGAAUUCACGUGGCGUAAAGCGCAUGCAGGCGGCCGCACCAGUUGGAUGUGAAAUCUCCCGGCUCACCUGGGAGGGGACGUUCAAAACUGUGCGGCUCGAGGGCGGUAGAGGAAGGUAGAAUUCCCGGUGUAGUGGUGAAAUGCGUAGAUAUCGGGAGGAAUACCCGUGGCGAAGGCGACCUUCUGGACCGUUUCUGACGCUCAGAUGCGAAAGCUAGGGGAGCGAACGGG
RNAcentral lists this ribosomal RNA (400 nucleotides) under uncultured bacterium. RNAcentral's name for it is "partial 16S ribosomal RNA". It matches the Rfam family "Bacterial small subunit ribosomal RNA", at positions 360 to 776 of the family's 1533-position model. The record is from RNAcentral.